AUACCCAGUCUAUGGCAUACUACCUGAUCUCAUCUAACCUCAGAAGCUAGGAGGAAUAGUCCUGUUAAUACUUGAUGGGAGACCACUUGGAAAUGCCAUGUACAGGCUUUU
Molecule: ribosomal RNA, 111 nt
Organism: Cercocebus atys (sooty mangabey)
Lineage: Eukaryota; Metazoa; Chordata; Mammalia; Primates; Cercopithecidae
Source: Ensembl